This 24-nucleotide non-coding RNA is filed under the name Arabidopsis thaliana (thale cress). Lineage: Eukaryota; Viridiplantae; Streptophyta; Magnoliopsida; Brassicales; Brassicaceae. The record is from RNAcentral. RNAcentral also lists the same sequence under 1 other name.
GGGCAUUUGGUCUAGUGGUAUGAU